UUCGAUGCAACGCGAAGAACCUUACCUACUCUUGACAUCCAGAGAAUUCGNNANAGAUAGCUUAGUGCCUUNGGGAACUCUGAGACAGGUGCUGCAUGGCUGUCNUCAGCUCGUGUUGUGAAAUGUUGGGUUAAGUCCCGCAACGAGCGCAACCCUUAUCCUUAUUUGCCAGCACGUAAUGGUGGGAACUNUAGGGAGACUGCCGGUGAUAAACCGGAGGAAGGUGGGGACGACGUCAAGUCAUCAUGGCCCUUACGAGUAGGGCUACACACGUGCUACAAUGGCGAGUACAGAGGGUUGCAAAGCCGCGAGGUGGAGCUAAUCUCACAAAGCUCGUCGUAGUCCGGAUUGGAGUCUGCAACUCGACUCCAUGAAGUCGGAAUCGCUAGUAAUCGUGGAUCAGAAUGCCACGGUGAAUACGUUCCCGGGCCUUGUACACACCGCCCGUCACACCAUGGGAGUGGGCUGCAAAAGAAGUGGGUAGCUNANC
This 490-nucleotide ribosomal RNA is filed under the name uncultured bacterium. RNAcentral's name for it is "bacterial SSU rRNA". It matches the Rfam family "Bacterial small subunit ribosomal RNA", at positions 950 to 1439 of the family's 1533-position model. The record is from RNAcentral.